GGGCCAGUAGGUUGGUCGUGCCACCGGUACGUACUGGUCUCACUGACUCCUCCUUCCUGAAGAACCGUAAUGCCAUUAAUUUGGUGUUGCGGGGAAACAGGACUGUUACUUUGAAAAAAUUAGAGUGUUUAAAGCAAGCUAACGCCUGAAUACAUUAGCAUGGAAUAAUGAAAUAGGACGAUCGAUCCUAUUUUGUUGGUUUCUAGGAUUGACGUA
Molecule: ribosomal RNA, 216 nt
Filed under: Glomeromycotina sp.
Lineage: Eukaryota; Fungi; Glomeromycota
Description: partial small subunit ribosomal RNA
Rfam family: Eukaryotic small subunit ribosomal RNA (bases 75-216)
Source: RNAcentral